RNAcentral lists this ribosomal RNA (496 nucleotides) under uncultured bacterium. RNAcentral's name for it is "partial 16S ribosomal RNA". It matches the Rfam family "Bacterial small subunit ribosomal RNA", at positions 29 to 507 of the family's 1533-position model. The record is from RNAcentral.
AUGAACGCUGGCGGCGUGCCUAAUACAUGCAAGUCGAGCGAACGGACGAGAAGCUUGCUUCUCUGAUGUUAGCGGCGGACGGGUGAGUAACACGUGGAUAACCUACCUAUAAGACUGGGAUAACUUCGGGAAACCGUAGCUAAUACCGGAUAAUAUUUUGAACCGCAUGGUUCAAAAGUGAAAGACGGUCUUGCUGUCACUUAUAGAUGGAUCCGCGCUGCAUUAGCUAGUUGGUAAGGUAACGGCUUGCCAAGGCAACGAUGCAUAGCCGACCUGAGAGGGUGAUCGGCCACACUGGAACUGAGACACGGUCCAGACUCCUACGGGAGGCAGCAGUAGGGAAUCUUCCGCAAUGGGCGAAAGCCUGACGGAGCAACGCCGCGUGAGUGAUGAAGGUCUUCGGAUCGUAAAACUCUGUUAUUAGGGAAGAACAUAUGUGUAAGUAACUGUGCACAUCUUGACGGUACCUAAUCAGAAAGCCACGGCUAACUACGUG